AUGGAGGAGGGCACUGUUAGAGACGUCGAGACUGGCAGUGAGGCUGGAGGAGAGGAUGCCUUGGUGGGGAAUGUGAACAAACUGACAGUGAGCCCACCAGGUUACACAGGAUCUCCACGGAAAGGACAUCUGGUUUUUGAUGCUUGCUUUGAGAGUGGGAACCUUGGCCGUGUUGACUACAUCAGUGAGUUUGAGUUUGACCUCUUCAUCCGGCCUGACACCUGCA
Plectropomus leopardus (leopard coralgrouper) is the source of this 226-nucleotide non-coding RNA. The record is from RefSeq and is a predicted model, not a curated record. NCBI's taxonomy places the organism in Eukaryota, Metazoa, Chordata, Actinopteri, Perciformes, Serranidae.